RNAcentral lists this ribosomal RNA (487 nucleotides) under uncultured bacterium. RNAcentral's name for it is "bacterial SSU rRNA". It matches the Rfam family "Bacterial small subunit ribosomal RNA", at positions 21 to 518 of the family's 1533-position model. The record is from RNAcentral.
GGCUUAGGAUGAACGCUGGCGGCGUGCUUAACACAUGCAAGUCGAACGAAGCAGCUUCUGCUUGCAAGAAAGCUGACUUAGUGGCGGACGGGUGAGUAACGCGUGGGUAACCUGCCUCAUACAGGGGGAUAACAGUUGGAAACGACUGCUAAGACCGCAUAACCCGCUAGUGUCGCAUGACACGGACGGAAAAUAUUUAUAGGUAUGAGAUGGGCCCGCGUCUGAUUAGCUAGUUGGUAAGGUAACGGCUUACCAAGGCGACGAUCAGUAGCCGACUUGAGAGAGUGAUCGGCCACAUUGGGACUGAGACACGGCCCAAACUCCUACGGGAGGCAGCAGUGGGGAAUAUUGGACAAUGGGGGAAACCCUGAUCCAGCGAACCGCCGCGUGAGUGAAGAAGUAUUUCGGUAUGUAAAGCUCUAUCAGCAGGGAAGAUAAUGACAGUACCUGACUAAGAAGCCCCGGCUAACUACGUGCCAGCCGCAGC